GUUGCCUAAAUGUGUCAAUAGAAUAAUUUUUUUUUUUCCAUUUCUAACUGGGAAGAGGAUUCUUCCAACAAUUUUUCAUUUAGGGAAUGAACCACACUCUCGAUGUGCAUACAGAGAAGAUGGCUGGCUGGCUGGAUCCAGGGUUUUAAUGUUUCCAGCAUGAAGGCAGGGACUCGCUGAGGUUACGUGAACCGGUCUCCAACCAUUGAUAUUGGCCCAUUUACUUAUUUCACAGGACAAGGGCAUGGGAACAACCAUCUCCUGGAAUGGCCCUUCCACAGGAAGAGAGGAGGAUGCAUGGCACAGAGGAAGGAUGGGGCACCUGGAUUCAAAAUCUGCUUACACCAUCCACGGAGCCUGGGAUGUUGAAGAAUUAGUUUUUUCUGUUGGAACUUGCUUUCCUUACUUGUAAAAUAAAGUUAAUCCUGCAAAC
This 433-nucleotide long non-coding RNA is filed under the name Pan troglodytes (chimpanzee). RNAcentral describes it as "lincRNA". Lineage: Eukaryota; Metazoa; Chordata; Mammalia; Primates; Hominidae. The record is from RNAcentral.